This 490-nucleotide ribosomal RNA is filed under the name uncultured bacterium. Its description in RNAcentral is "partial 16S ribosomal RNA". It matches the Rfam family "Bacterial small subunit ribosomal RNA", at positions 29 to 507 of the family's 1533-position model. The record is from RNAcentral.
AGUGAACGCUGGCGGUAGGCCUAACACAUGCAAGUCGAACGGCAGCACAGGAGAGCUUGCUCUCUGGGUGGCGAGUGGCGGACGGGUGAGGAAUACAUCGGAAUCUGCCCAGUCGUGGGGGAUAACGUAGGGAAACUUACGCUAAUACCGCAUACGACCUUCGGGUGAAAGAGGGGGAUCGCAAGACCUCUCGCGAUUGGAUGAGCCGAUGUCGGAUUAGCUAGUUGGCGGGGUAAUGGCCCACCAAGGCGACGAUCCGUAGCUGGUCUGAGAGGAUGAUCAGCCACACUGGAACUGAGACACGGUCCAGACUCCUACGGGAGGCAGCAGUGGGGAAUAUUGGACAAUGGGCGCAAGUCUGAUCCAGCCAUACCGCGUGGGUGAAGAAGGCCUUCGGGUUGUAAAGCCCUUUUGUUGGGAAAGAAAUCUUUCAGGCUAAUACCCUGGGAGGAUGACGGUACCCAAAGAAUAAGCACCGGCUAACUUCGUG